Non-coding RNA from Podarcis lilfordi (Lilford's wall lizard), 604 nucleotides. NCBI's taxonomy places the organism in Eukaryota, Metazoa, Chordata, Lepidosauria, Squamata, Lacertidae. The record is from the annotation of a GenBank genome assembly.
GUUCUUUUCAGUUAGGUCUGUUAUCAACUGCAGAGGAUGAGUAGCCUUGGGAGCCUCUUGGGGAGAUGGAAGUGAUGAAAGGACUGAAUCCAUGAGGGAGAGCUACUUGCUCUGAGAUGGGGGGACCUUCGGGCAAAGGCCAGCAGAGAAGGGAUGCUGUUGGCUGCUGGUUUCUGUUGCUCCCCACUUUCCCAAAGGGCGUAACAUCAGAGGUCCUGCGGGAGGAAAGAUGCCUCAGAGUCAGGGGCCUUUCUGGGCCAAAGCGGCCCCCACUGCCCCCACCACGGAGUCCCUGGCACUCCUGGGCCAUGAGGGUUGCAGAUUUUGGUCUUGGACCAAAUUGGGGGCCAAACUGUCAGUAUUUCAUUCUCUCAUUGCUAGUGUAACAUGAUGUCCAUGUUUACACCUUCUGUACUGUCUGUGUAAGAAUGGAAGUCAGUUUGUAAAUCGCUUUCAUCCUUUGUUUUCUUUUACUCUGACCGAGGAGGAGAUGGCUGUGGAAGACAGCUCACACCAUGUUUCUUUGUUAUUUUCGGCUGUAAAUAAAGCUUGAUGUCACAUUUUAACACAGUUUGCAGCACAUCUGCAAAGAGAAGGACAUGGG